GUCCAACAUAUUUCCGUACCAGCUCCUUCUACCUAUACCGCAGCUGAAGCACCUAAAGGUGAAUUUGGUGUCUUUCUUGUCAGUAAUGGGAGUAAUAGUCCCUAUCGUUGUAAAAUAAGAGCACCUGGCUCUGCCCAUUCACAAGGACUCGAUUCUUUGUCCAAACAUCACAUGCCAGCAGAUGUAGUCACCAUCAUAGGUACUCAAGAUAUUGUGUUUGGGAUUGACUUGUAA
Molecule: ribosomal RNA, 234 nt
Filed under: Triticum aestivum (bread wheat)
Lineage: Eukaryota; Viridiplantae; Streptophyta; Magnoliopsida; Poales; Poaceae
Description: partial small subunit ribosomal RNA
Source: RNAcentral